AAACAGCAAGAAUAUUCAUAUUUUUGGCAGCACACUCACGAAAGUAGCAGCCAUAUAUUAUAAUUUUGGGGAGCAUAUUUCGAGAGAUGCACAAGACAUUGAAAGGGGGAAUCACUAAAAAAAACAUCAUCAUCUAUCAUCGAUUAUUGAAGGCAGCCGUAUACCUUUUUUUUGGCUCUCCAACAUCAUAAGUUUCCUACACCUAAUCAAAUCGAUCUUGACGGCAGACGGCAGUAAAAGGGUUUUUCAACCGGGUAUCAAGCGAGUGAAGAUCAUUCAACCGAGAUGAGCGGCUAAAUUUCUCGUGGACACUUCGGGUGAAUGAUUCUUGUGUUAAAGUGUUCAAGAUGAGGAUUUUAGGAGGCAUAAAUGAAUGCUAGAAGUUGGUGGAGUCAAAGAGUGAAAGAAGUGAACCAUUGGUGAAGAAAUAAGAAAAAAAAUAAAGUUCAGAGCCGUAACCUACGCCAUCUGGCCGUAGGUUACGGUACCACCUCUCUCAGAUUGUCACCACCGUAAAUCAGAAGCUCAUAGCCGUAAGAUUCAUGAUUGGCACCGUAGCCUACGGCUGGUGCCGUAGGUUACGGCAUCACAUGUUGACUUUUGGACAUCUUUCACAUGCAGCCGAUUAGGCAGCUUGUAGGCAACUUGUUUGGGUAUUAUUAUUAAUAAUGGGCUGCUUGUUGGACUUCACGUGCACAUGCGGGCAGUGGACAGUUGGACGGCACAUGUAGGAUGAAUGGAUUAUUAUGUCAACAUAUACAAUUCUCAUCAUCAACACUUGUGAUGAUUAUUAUACCACAUCAUCAUCAUCAUCAUCUCACGUAGAAAAGGAAGUGUCACGUGAAUUUUGGAUGGCAACAUGGAGGGUUUCUAAAAGAAAGUCAAAUCACUCAUCAUUAUUAUAAGCAGCCAUAUUGAGGGAGAUGUACACGAAGAAUUGGAAGGCACAUGUGAACAAAACAAGCAUCAGCAUUAAUUGAUAUCAUCAUGAGAAAAGAUGUAACUUAUUACAUUUAAUGUUUUUUUUUAUGGAGUUUGGAGGAGGUCUUUUCACUGGUCGGUCGGUUACACAUUAUUCUCUUGACACAUCACUUAGGAACCUCACCGGGGAACGACUUUUGCACGGAGGUGAACAGCAAGUUUGGAGACUUUUUGGGAAGAAAAACAUUAUCUUUUCAUCUAGUUUUUGUUGCUUUGAUUUGGAUGAACAAUAAUAUUCUGAUGAGGUUUGUUCAAGCCAUGAGCGGCUAAAUCAUACGUGGCCUCCUCCAGACAGAUGGUUCAGUUAGGUUUUAUUUCUUUCCAGUUUUAUUCAUGUUUGGAAUUACUUUUGGAUUGACAAACCUUUAUAAGUAAUUUGAUGUGUUGAUUUUGUUUGAACUA
This is a long non-coding RNA of Helianthus annuus (common sunflower), 1383 nucleotides long. RefSeq lists it as uncharacterized. The record is from RefSeq and is a predicted model, not a curated record. NCBI's taxonomy places the organism in Eukaryota, Viridiplantae, Streptophyta, Magnoliopsida, Asterales, Asteraceae. The transcript has 2 exons.